GCUUUGCCUGCUAUCUCUUACCCAUGUCUUUUAAGUACCUUCGUUUCCUCGGCGGGUUCGCCCGCCGAUUGGACAAUUUAAACCAUUUGCAGUUGCAAUCAGCGUCUGAAAAAACUUAAUAGUUACAACUUUCAACAACGGAUCUCUUGGUUCUGGCAUCGAUGAAGAACGCAGCGAAAUGCGAUAAGUAGUGUGAAUUGCAGAAUUCAGUGAAUCAUCGAAUCUUUGAACGCACAUUGCGCCCCUUGGUAUUCCAUGGGGCAUGCCUGUUCGAGCGUCAUUUGUACCUUCAAGCUCUGCUUGGUGUUGGGUGUUUGUCUCGCCUCUGCGUGUAGACUCGCCUCAAAACAAUUGGCAGCCGGCGUAUUGAUUUCGGAGCGCAGUACAUCUCGCGCUUUGCACUCAUAACGACGACGUCCAAAAGUACAUUUUUACACUCUUGACCUCGGAUCAGGUAGGGAUACCCGCUGAACUUAAGCAUAUCAAUAAGCCGGAGGAAA
Molecule: ribosomal RNA, 500 nt
Filed under: Phoma sp. LF1
Lineage: Eukaryota; Fungi; Ascomycota; Dothideomycetes; Pleosporales; Didymellaceae
Description: eukaryotic LSU rRNA
Rfam family: 5.8S ribosomal RNA (bases 127-280)
Source: RNAcentral